UGCUCAGGGAGAACUGCUCACCAUGGUCCAUGUUAGCUGUCUGAGACUUGAGCGAUGGGCUGGACUCUGGCUGACUCAGAAAAGCAAAGGAAGCGCUUGGUGGUAAAGCUGGGACAGUGAUGCCCAAACAGAUUAAGCAGACAGGAAUUAAUCUUCCACUCUCCUAAGAAUCCCACCCAGGACACCCGUGAGAAUUUCCUUCCCUGGAUCACUGGACAGUCAGGGGUUUCUAAAGCCAUCGGCUCAGUAGACUUGGCAUCUUGACUUCACCUGGGAACACUGCAGGAUCUCGCUGUUUGACUUGCCUGUGUGCUUAACCCUGCAGAGACAUGCUUCAGGUUGUCAGAGAUCAGAGCAGUACUUCACAGUGCUAAGGACAUUUCAGCUCUUCACACUGCCCUGCCAGUGAGGAGACUGGGGAUGCACAAGGAGAUGGGAGAAGACAGACCCAGGAGAGCUGACCCAGACUGACUGAAGAGAUUUUCCUUACUAUGUGGCAUCAUGUGGAGUUAAAAAUUUGGGGGAGUUGGCCAGGCGGGGAGCAGCCAUGGCUCGGGGACUAGCUAGUGGGUGGUGAGCAAUUGCAUUGUGCAUCACUGUUUUUGUAAGUGCAUAUAUAGACACACAUACAGUUAUCACUACUAUUGUGGGUUGUUUUUUUUUUUUUUCCUUCUCUGUUUUAGUAAAUAGCUUUUAUCUCAACCCAUGGGUUUUACCGUUUUUUCCAAUUCUCUCUCCUGUCUCAUCAGUAUGGGGGAGUGAGCAAAAUGGCUGUGGGGCUGAGCUGCUUCUGCGUUAAACUACAACACUGUGAGCAGCUGCUCUUCACUGUCCCAGUACAGUGGUUAUUCCUCUUGUGCCUGGCACAACCCAGUUCCACUUGGUGUCUCCAUUCAACUGAAGCUCAUUUCUGGUAGAAAAUUAGGAAUCUUCAGAAACCAUAUCAUUAAUACUCUCAUCCUGAAACUUGGAACAGAAGUGUAUUUAAAUGGAAGCAUUUGUUCCUUUUAAACCAACACUGCAGAACAAACCCAUCCCAUCGCUUAGAUGGCUCACAGCUGCCUCCUGGUGUGCUCUUCUUCUUGAUUAGUGACAGAGAAGUCAGUGUAACAUAUAGAGGUGCAGAUAAGUGAGUGCUAAGGAGCUGCUCUACACUGACAUCCCAGAAGGGCAGAGCAAGUUUGCACUGGGAGCAGCUGUGAGAUGGCAGUGCAAGGCUGUCUCUGCCUUACCCACUCCCCCUGCAGUGCCGACAGUUUGAUGCACUAGCAUUUGCUGGCUGGCAGGUCAUUUUUCACCUGGAAACAUACAGAGCAGCAUACUUGACAAAAUCUACAUCUAGAAACUGGCCAGUGUAACAUUUAUCUUAUGCCCCAAUUCGUAACUGAUCCUGACAUUGCAAGUGAAGGAGUUCAUAUUAGUGAUCGAGGCAAUUGUAAAAGCUAUAUUGAUUUUUUCUAACCUGCCUGAUUUCAAAUGUGUUACACGAUUUUUUAUUGCUUCUUGGUUAGCUAAUGCUUCUUGAUAUUACUUUGCAACAACCCUGCUCACCUUGUACUGCUGUAGCACAGUGCAAUUUCCUCCUCUGCCCUCACAAGUAACAGCAAAUGGACAGCAGGCUCCAGAUACAAGAUGUGCAGUUGUGCACUCCCUGCAUGGAUGCAGUCCUGGGCCACCUGCUCUAGCUGGUCCUAUCUGAGCAGGAUGUUGGACCAGACGGACUCAGAAGUCUCUGGAUGGCCAUGCUGUGAUUCUGUGCCUCUCCUGGUGCAAGCUGACCUCAGCCCUGAUCCAGUACAGCCCUCUGGGUGGCACUAACGCUAAAGCUGCAUUUUGUUCUCUGACAAAAUAUGCACAGGUAUACAGCUGUAUCAGGUUUGAGCCAUGGCUCUGGAAAUUAAAUUUAAAAUAAUACAAGAUUUUAGCUAUUGGUUCUUCUUGUGUGCUAUAAAAGAAGCAUGAGCUAUGAUGCCUCAAUUGCUUUUAAUUGGUUGUAAGGAGGAUUUGCAGUACCUCAGUUUCAAGGUCCCUGUUUGAUGUAUUGGGAAUAAAAAGGUUUUCAUAGGAGUACUAGAGUUACAACACACUCAAGUCCACACCAGAAGUGUCUUUGACACUGCUGUCAGUAGACUAAAUCUCUUAAAAUUACUUAUUAAAAGUGUGACAGGAACUUUAUGUAGGCUUUCACUUUUCUUUGCAUCCAAAUUUCAGAAAAAUGCACUGCAGGGUUGAGCUCUGGUUUAUCCAGAACUUAUUGGGGUACAGCUUAGAAUAACCUCGUUAAAAAUAAUUCACUGUGAAGCAGAUAUAAGAAUGGGCAAAUUAGCAGUGCUGAGAGCCAUGUGAGGGGCUGUGUGCAACUACCUUCUCCAACACUCUGUCUGCAAAGGAAAGAAAACCUUAGAGAGAAAUUUUCAGCUUAUGCACUACUGUAAGUGAAAGCCAUGGUUAGUUGAACGUGUGUCUGUUGUCUUUUACUCAGUUAAUGCGACACGAA
Meleagris gallopavo (turkey) is the source of this 2497-nucleotide non-coding RNA. Lineage: Eukaryota; Metazoa; Chordata; Aves; Galliformes; Phasianidae. The record is from RefSeq and is a predicted model, not a curated record.